GCGGACGUGGCGAAAUUGGCAGACGCGCAGGUUUCAGGUUCCUGUGGGUAACUCCGUAUGGGUUCAAGUCCCUUCGUCCGCACCA
This 85-nucleotide transfer RNA is filed under the name Clostridia bacterium. RNAcentral's name for it is "tRNA-Leu". It matches the Rfam family "tRNA". Rfam says of the family: Transfer RNA (tRNA) molecules are approximately 80 nucleotides in length. The record is from RNAcentral. Lineage: Bacteria; Bacillati; Bacillota; Clostridia.